This 350-nucleotide unclassified non-coding RNA is filed under the name Hevea brasiliensis (rubber tree). Lineage: Eukaryota; Viridiplantae; Streptophyta; Magnoliopsida; Malpighiales; Euphorbiaceae. The record is from RNAcentral.
GCUCCACAUCUCCUCUACACAGCACAAUAACGCUGGCUCUAUCGGUGUUUUGGCCAAUGGAAGCAUUGUAGAAACCAUAGUUAUCUAUUUUUGAGGGAAGGGAUGUGAGGAGUGUGUUUAGAUUGUUCUUGUAGGUACUAUUCUCAGUAUAGUUACCAUUCUCACCACAUGAACCAAAUCGUAACUGAGGCAGCUGGGCUACAAUAUUGAGAACAUGUAAAUGCAGAAACAGAAAGAGUAACCACUUUUGAAUUACCAUGGCUAUGUCUGUUUAAGUUGCAAGCAAAUUUUGAUAUUAGUGCUGAAUAUGUAUAACCUAGAAACAGAGUUAGAGAGAAAACGUAUGGACU